RNAcentral lists this transfer RNA (59 nucleotides) under Escherichia coli. Its description in RNAcentral is "tRNA-Ser". It matches the Rfam family "tRNA". From Rfam's summary of the family: Transfer RNA (tRNA) molecules are approximately 80 nucleotides in length. Their secondary structure includes four short double-helical elements and three loops (D, anti-codon, and T loops). The record is from RNAcentral. Lineage: Bacteria; Pseudomonadati; Pseudomonadota; Gammaproteobacteria; Enterobacterales; Enterobacteriaceae.
GGGUCGUUAGCUCAGUUGGUAGAGCAGUNNCGCAGGUUCGAAUCCUGCACGACCCACCA